UACAGAGGGUGCGAGCGAUAAUCGGCAUUACUGGGCGUAAAGGGUGCGUCGGUGGUGGCAUAAGUUAGGUGUGAAAGUCCUGGGCUUAACCUGGGGAUUGCGCCUAAUACUGUGAGGCUUGAGUAUUGUAGAGGAAAGUGGAAUUUCCGGUGUAGCGGUGAAAUGCGUAGAUAUCGGAAGGAACAUCAGUGGCGAAGGCGACUUUCUGGACAAAUACUGACACUGAGGCACGAAAGCCUGGGGAGCAAACAGG
RNAcentral lists this ribosomal RNA (253 nucleotides) under uncultured bacterium. RNAcentral describes it as "partial 16S ribosomal RNA". It matches the Rfam family "Bacterial small subunit ribosomal RNA", at positions 524 to 776 of the family's 1533-position model. The record is from RNAcentral.